Molecule: ribosomal RNA, 492 nt
Filed under: uncultured bacterium
Lineage: Bacteria
Description: partial 16S ribosomal RNA
Rfam family: Bacterial small subunit ribosomal RNA
Source: RNAcentral
AGUGAACGCUGGCGGUAGGCCUAACACAUGCAAGUCGAACGGCAGCACAGUAAGAGCUUGCUCUUACGGGUGGCGAGUGGCGGACGGGUGAGGAAUACAUCGGAAUCUACUUUUUCGUGGGGGAUAACGUAGGGAAACUUACGCUAAUACCGCAUACGACCUACGGGUGAAAGCAGGGGAUCUUCGGACCUUGCGCGAUCGAAUGAGCCGAUGUCGGAUUAGCUAGUUGGCGGGGUAAAGGCCCACCAAGGCGACGAUCCGUAGCUGGUCUGAUAGGAUGAUCAGCCACACUGGAACGGAGACACGGUCCAGACUCCUACGGUAGGCAGCAGUGGGGAAUAUUGGACAAUGGGCGCAAGCCUGAUCCAGCCAUACCGCGUGGGUGAAGAAGGCCUUCGGGUUGUAAAGCCCUUUUGUUGGGAAAGAAAAGCAGCAGGUUAAUACCCCGCUGUUCUGACGGUACCCAAAGAAUAAGCACCGGCUAACUUCGUG